RNAcentral lists this ribosomal RNA (468 nucleotides) under uncultured bacterium. RNAcentral's name for it is "partial 16S ribosomal RNA". It matches the Rfam family "Bacterial small subunit ribosomal RNA", at positions 28 to 507 of the family's 1533-position model. The record is from RNAcentral.
GACGAACGCUGGCGGCGUGCUUAACACAUGCAAGUCGAACGGAAAGGCCCUGCUUUUGUGGGGUGCUCGAGUGGCGAACGGGUGAGUAACACGUGAGUAACCUGCCCUUGACUUUGGGAUAACUUCAGGAAACUGGGGCUAAUACCGGAUAGGAGCUCCUGCUGCAUGGUGGGGGUUGGAAAGUUUCGGCGGUUGGGGAUGGACUCGCGGCUUAUCAGCUUGUUGGUGGGGUAGUGGCUUACCAAGGCUUUGACGGGUAGCCGGCCUGAGAGGGUGACCGGCCACAUUGGGACUGAGAUACGGCCCAGACUCCUACGGGAGGCAGCAGUGGGGAGUAUUGCACAAUGGGCGGGAGCCCGAUGCGGCGACGCCGCGUGCGGGAUGACGGCCUUCGGGUUGUAAACCGCUUUCGCCUGUGACGAAGCGUGAGUGACGGUAAUGGGUAAAGAAGCACCGGCUAACUACGUG